CAAAUUAAAGCUUUAUAAAUAAGUUUUUUAUUUACAUUAAAAAGAAUAUCGUGUAAUUCGAUUUGAUUUGA
This 71-nucleotide transfer RNA is filed under the name Omoglymmius wukong. RNAcentral describes it as "tRNA-Val". The record is from RNAcentral. Lineage: Eukaryota; Metazoa; Arthropoda; Insecta; Coleoptera; Carabidae.